AUUAUGUUGAUUUCAUAGCAAACUGGCCUGUGUUCAAUUAAAUGUUUAAACGUUUUUGUUUGGAUGAAAAAAUGUUCUUGUAUUGUAAAUGUGCAAAUAUGAUGUUGCCUUGAUGUAAACAUUGUAAACCUAUGUACCUUUAAGUUCUCCAUUUGUCUUUUUGUAUCCACGCCACAAGGCAAACUUACUUCUUACUGAAUACCUACUUUUAGCUAUCGAGUCACCCUAAUGGAG
RNAcentral lists this unclassified non-coding RNA (234 nucleotides) under Hevea brasiliensis (rubber tree). The record is from RNAcentral. Lineage: Eukaryota; Viridiplantae; Streptophyta; Magnoliopsida; Malpighiales; Euphorbiaceae.